UCAAGUAUGACAUCACAUGACAUAUAUGUAUAUAUUAGGCCUGUGCAUAAAAGGUGUAGAACCCGAUCUGUUCGAUAGAUCUGAUCCAACCCGCCCAAUAAAGUUAGGUUUAAAUCAGAUGCGGGUUGGAUGAGCUUCUUCAACAGAUGAUCCCGUAGCUCGCAUGAUCCCUCAAAUUGCAACUCCAUUCUUCAGAAAAACCCCUAGCCUCUCUCUCUCUCUCUCUCUCUCUCUCUCUAAGAUCGAUUUGAGGAAUGUGCAUUGUCUCAGAAAAAAACACAUGUAUACCCUAAAGAGACCCAUCUCACUGCCCGCAAGAUCUCCAUUUUUUUCUCCUGCGACGACUUCAUCGUCUAUGACCUAGUGGCCCAUUUGGCGAGGGCUAAUCUUCGAGGCGAUGCUCAGGGCCAAUCUUCGAUUUCGAGCUAGAUUUUUCUAAUCACUGUCUUAGACGGCAAAAGAUUUGCUCAGAAGGAUGCUCUGCAAGGACAUGUUUAGAAGAUUCUUGGCAGAGCAAGUUUUGAGACACCCUUGGAGAACUAGCAGUAGUGGAGGAGGGACCAGAAUCCAUCUCUUGUGCGAUUGAGUGGGCAUGGGAGUGGCUGUGCUUGGACAUGGGUGUGAGUGGAGUGAGGCCUUGCCCGUCAAAACCCAUGCUCCAUUGAUGAUGAAAUCCAUGCAUAUGAAACCCUUGGUCCAUCUCUCCAAAGAGCUCAAGCACUUGCGAUCCCAAAAAAGAUUAGGGAAGAGGAAGUCAAGGGAGGACCACUAGCCAUUUUUUUUGUAUAUAAUUAUUUCCCUUUUCCUUUGAUUUUUCCUUGGAAUUGAAUAUGGUGGAAUAAUUGCAUUCUUCUUCUUGGAGAAUCAGCCCUUGAAACUAAA
Long non-coding RNA from Carya illinoinensis, 882 nucleotides. RefSeq lists it as uncharacterized. The transcript has 2 exons. The record is from RefSeq and is a predicted model, not a curated record. NCBI's taxonomy places the organism in Eukaryota, Viridiplantae, Streptophyta, Magnoliopsida, Fagales, Juglandaceae.